AUUGAACGCUGGCGGCAGGCUUAACACAUGCAAGUCGAGCGGGGUGAUGGUGCUUGCACUAUCACUUAGCGGCGGACGGGUGAGUAAUGCUUAGGAAUCUGCCUAUUAGUGGGGGACAACAUCUCGAAAGGGAUGCUAAUACCGCAUACGUCCUACGGGAGAAAGCAGGGGAUCACUUGUGACCUUGCGCUAAUAGAUGAGCCUAAGUCGGAUUAGCUAGUUGGUGGGGUAAAGGCCUACCAAGGCGACGAUCUGUAGCGGGUCUGAGAGGAUGAUCCGCCACACUGGGCCUGCGACACAGCCCAGACUCCUACGGGAGGCAGCAGUGGGGAAUAUUGGACAAUUGGGGGAACCCUGAUCCAGCCAUGCCGCGUGUGUGAAGAAGGCCUUAUGGUUGUAAAGCACUUUAAGCGAGGAGGAGGCUCUUUUGGUUAAUACCCAAGAUGAGUGGACGUUACUCGCAGAAUAAGCACCGGCUAACUCUGUGCCAGCAGCCGCCGUAA
RNAcentral lists this ribosomal RNA (503 nucleotides) under uncultured bacterium. RNAcentral's name for it is "partial 16S ribosomal RNA". It matches the Rfam family "Bacterial small subunit ribosomal RNA", at positions 30 to 523 of the family's 1533-position model. The record is from RNAcentral.